This is a long non-coding RNA of Sciurus carolinensis (gray squirrel), 299 nucleotides long. RefSeq lists it as uncharacterized. The record is from RefSeq and is a predicted model, not a curated record. NCBI's taxonomy places the organism in Eukaryota, Metazoa, Chordata, Mammalia, Rodentia, Sciuridae. The transcript has 3 exons.
GUCAAAUAUUUGAGAUCCCUGAUGAAAAGUCUCAUGUCUUCUCUACAUGGCACUCCCUGAGACAGUCUGGCUAGAGGAUCUGGAAUGGAAUGACAGGAAGAAAACUGGCUGAUGGUUUAGAAAACCUAGAAUAUAUAAGCCUUGUACUCCAGUAAGCAGGCUUAUCCUGGGAUGAAGUCAUACUUUAUUCACUCUCCACCCUUCUCCAUUCCUUGCUGUGUUCCUAGAAAGCAAAAUUAUAUGAACUCAUUCAACUGGAAUCCCUCAUCUUCUAGCUUGCUCUGGGAAUCGUCAUGGAU